RNAcentral lists this ribosomal RNA (253 nucleotides) under uncultured bacterium. RNAcentral's name for it is "partial 16S ribosomal RNA". It matches the Rfam family "Bacterial small subunit ribosomal RNA", at positions 524 to 776 of the family's 1533-position model. The record is from RNAcentral.
UACGUAGGGUGCGAGCGUUAAUCGGAAUUACUGGGCGUAAAGCGUGCGUAGGCGGUUCGUUAAGUUCGUUGUGAAAGCCCCGGGCCCAACCUGGGAAUGGCAAUGGAAACUGGCGGGCUGGAGUAUGGCAGAGGGGGGUGGAAUUCCGCGUGUAGCAGUGAAAUGCGUAGAGAUGCGGAGGAACACCGAUGGCGAAGGCAGCCCCCUGGGCCAAUACUGACGCUCAGGCACGAAAGCGUGGGGAGCAAACAGG